This 933-nucleotide long non-coding RNA is filed under the name Vigna radiata. RNAcentral describes it as "long non-coding RNA (VRAD_LNC003939)". The record is from RNAcentral. Lineage: Eukaryota; Viridiplantae; Streptophyta; Magnoliopsida; Fabales; Fabaceae.
GAAGUUGUUAUUUUAAAUUAGAAAAAUAAUUAAAUUGAAAAAAAAAAUUAAUAUGACUUUGUGGGAAAGAAAUUUCAGUUAUAAUUUCUUGAACAAUAAUGUUUAUAUUAUUAUUAUAAUUAUUUUUAAUGAGAUUUGAAACAUUUUGUAACAACUUAUAUUAUUUNCACACAAUUGGUUGAUCUUAGUGUCACUGAACUCAGUUCUGUUAAACAAAAUUUUAAGGUUCAAACUUUGCGAUCAGAAAUGGCAUUCUCAUAAAUGAAUAAUAAUCCAUUCUUUUUACUGUCCACGAGAGUUAUAUCAUACAUGCAUGACUCAUAAGAUAGCAUUAAUUACAGGGUCCAUCCUAGUAUUUAUUUCUGGACUGUAUUCANUUUCUCAACCUCAAAAACACAUCUUGUAUAGCAGAAUUGAUUUGGUAGCUUAAAUAAUGACGGAAAAUCGAUUCCAUGGUAGGAAAUAAUUGAUUAUCUUCACAUAGUUUCUCCCAUAUAAUCGAUUGAUUCAGCUUAAAUACACAGGGGAUUCGAUUUUCAGCCCUCUAAAAUCGAUUCCCUACCGUUUUCUAGAAUGAAAUUGGUGAACACGAUGUUUUUUUUUUUACUGCUAUGUUUUUUAAUUAGAAUUGUAACUCGUUCGCAUGUGUAUUGUAUUUCGUCCAUGCUUACAUGACUUUCCUCGACGAUCUUUUUAUUUGAACAAAGCACUGAGAAGUGGGUCAUACAUUUUCAGAUUAUAAGAUCUUAAAAUAAUUUCAUUUUACUUACAAUGGAUGGAAAAGUAGAAAAAUAAAGUGAAUAAAAUUUCUUAUUAUAGUGGUCUUCUUUUAAGUAGAAAAAUAAUUCUCAUAAAUAUUUUAUUAUUUAAAUAUAAAACUUAAAAAUAGAAAAAAUUAACUAUCAAAUUUCAUUACAAAAUGCAUUAUUUUUC